UGUAUUGGAUGAUGGGAAUUUAAACCUCUUCCAGAGUAUCAAUUGGAGGGCAAGUCUGGUGCCAGCAGCCGCGGUAAUUCCAGCUCCAAUAGCGUAUAUUAAAAUUGUUGCAGUUAAAAAGCUCGUAGUUGAAUUUCUGCUGCAUUACAUAUCUCUUGUUUGAGUUUGUUUUUGUGGCUUAUUUCGGUUUGAUUUUUUCUUUCCGGAUGAUUACUUUGAGAAAAUUAGAGUGCUCAAAGCAGGCUUUUGCCUUGAAUAGUUUAGCAUGGAAUAAUAAAGUAGGACUUUGGUUCUAUUUUGUUGGUUUUAGGUACCAAAGUAAUGGU
Molecule: ribosomal RNA, 326 nt
Filed under: Theileria buffeli
Lineage: Eukaryota; Apicomplexa; Aconoidasida; Piroplasmida; Theileriidae
Description: SSU rRNA
Rfam family: Eukaryotic small subunit ribosomal RNA
Source: RNAcentral